UUAAGCGACUAAGCGUACACGGUGGAUGCCCUGGCAGUCAGAGGCGAUGAAGGACGUGCUAAUCUGCGAAAAGCGUCGGUAAGGUGAUAUGAACCGUUAUAACCGGCGAUGUCCGAAUGGGGAAACCCAGUGCAAUUCGUUGCACUAUCGUUAACUGAAUACAUAGGUUAACGAGGCGAACCGGGGGAACUGAAACAUCUAAGUACCCCGAGGAAAGAAAUCAACCGAGAUUCCCCCAGUAGCGGCGAGCGAACGGGGAGCAGCCCAGAGUCUGAAUCAGCUUGUGUGUUAGUGGAACGGUCUGGAAAGUCCGACGGUACAGGGUGAUAGUCCCGUACACCAAAAUGCACAGGCUGUGAACUCGAAGAGUAGGGCGGGACACGUGGUAUCCUGUCUGAAUAUGGGGGGACCAUCCUCCAAGGCUAAAUACUCCUGACUGACCGAUAGUGAACCAGUACCGUGAGGGAAAGGCGAAAAGAACCCCGGCGAGGGGAGUGAAAAAGAACCUGAAACCGUGUACGUACAAGCAGUGGGAGCACCUUCGGGUGUGACUGCGUACCUUUUGUAUAAUGGGUCAGCGACUUAUAUUCUGUAGCAAGGUUAACCGUAUAGGGGAGCCGCAGGGAAACCGAGUCUUAACUGGGCGUUAAGUUGCAGGGUAUAGACCCGAAACCCGGUGAUCUAGCCAUGGGCAGGUUGAAGGUUGGGUAACACUAACUGGAGGACCGAACCGACUAAUGUUGAAAAAUUAGCGGAUGACUUGUGGCUGGGGGUGAAAGGCCAAUCAAACCGGGAGAUAGCUGGUUCUCCCCGAAAGCUAUUUAGGUAGCGCCUCGUGAACUCAUCUUCGGGGGUAGAGCACUGUUUCGGCUAGGGGGUCAUCCCGACUUACCAACCCGAUGCAAACUACGAAUACCGAAGAAUGUUAUCACGGGAGACACACGGCGGGUGCUAACGUCCGUCGUGAAGAGGGAAACAACCCAGACCGCCAGCUAAGGUCCCAAAGUCAUGGUUAAGUGGGAAACGAUGUGGGAAGGCACAGACAGCCAGGAUGUUGGCUUAGAAGCAGCCAUCAUUUAAAGAAAGCGUAAUAGCUCACUGGUCGAGUCGGCCUGCGCGGAAGAUGUAACGGGGCUAAACCAUGCACCGAAGCUGCGGCAGCGACACUAUGUGUUGUUGGGUAGGGGAGCGUUCUGUAAGCCUGCGAAGGUGACCUGUGAGGGUUGCUGGAGGUAUCAGAAGUGCGAAUGCUGACAUAAGUAACGAUAAAGCGGGUGAAAAGCCCGCUCGCCGGAAGACCAAGGGUUCCUGUCCAACGUUAAUCGGGCAGGGUGAGUCGACCCCUAAGGCGAGGCCGAAAGGCGUAGUCGAUGGGAAACAGGUUAAUAUUCCUGUACUUGGUGUUACUGCGAAGGGGGGACGGAGAAGGCUAUGUUAGCCGGGCGACGGUUGUCCCGGUUUAAGCAUGUAGGCUGGUUGUCCAGGCAAAUCCGGAUAAUCAAGGCUGAGGUGUGAUGACGAGGCACUACGGUGCUGAAGUAACAAAUGCCCUGCUUCCAGGAAAAGCCUCUAAGCAUCAGGUAACAUCAAAUCGUACCCCAAACCGACACAGGUGGUCAGGUAGAGAAUACCAAGGCGCUUGAGAGAACUCGGGUGAAGGAACUAGGCAAAAUGGUGCCGUAACUUCGGGAGAAGGCACGCUGGUGUGUAGGUGAAGUCCCUGCGGAUGGAGCUGAGACCAGUCGAAGAUACCAGCUGGCUGCAACUGUUUAUUAAAAACACAGCACUGUGCAAACACGAAAGUGGACGUAUACGGUGUGACGCCUGCCCGGUGCCGGAAGGUUAAUUGAUGGGGUUAUCCGUAAGGAGAAGCUCUUGAUCGAAGCCCCGGUAAACGGCGGCCGUAACUAUAACGGUCCUAAGGUAGCGAAAUUCCUUGUCGGGUAAGUUCCGACCUGCACGAAUGGCGUAAUGAUGGCCAGGCUGUCUCCACCCGAGACUCAGUGAAAUUGAACUCGCUGUGAAGAUGCAGUGUACCCGCGGCAAGACGGAAAGACCCCGUGAACCUUUACUAUAGCUUGACACUGAACAUUGAGCCUUGAUGUGUAGGAUAGGUGGGAGGCUUUGAAGCGUGGACGCCAGUCUGCGUGGAGCCAACCUUGAAAUACCACCCUUUAAUGUUUGAUGUUCUAACGUUGGCCCCUUACCGGGGUUGCGGACAGUGUCUGGUGGGUAGUUUGACUGGGGCGGUCUCCUCCCAAAGCGUAACGGAGGAGCACGAAGGUUAGCUAAUCCUGGUCGGACAUCAGGAGGUUAGUGCAAUGGCAUAAGCUAGCUUGACUGCGAGCGUGACGGCGCGAGCAGGUGCGAAAGCAGGUCAUAGUGAUCCGGUGGUUCUGAAUGGAAGGGCCAUCGCUCAACGGAUAAAAGGUACUCCGGGGAUAACAGGCUGAUACCGCCCAAGAGUUCAUAUCGACGGCGGUGUUUGGCACCUCGAUGUCGGCUCAUCACAUCCUGGGGCUGAAGUAGGUCCCAAGGGUAUGGCUGUUCGCCAUUUAAAGUGGUACGCGAGCUGGGUUUAGAACGUCGUGAGACAGUUCGGUCCCUAUCUGCCGUGGGCGCUGGAGAAUUGAGGGGGGCUGCUCCUAGUACGAGAGGACCGGAGUGGACGCAUCACUGGUGUUCGGGUUGUCAUGCCAAUGGCACUGCCCGGUAGCUAAAUGCGGAAGAGAUAAGUGCUGAAAGCAUCUAAGCACGAAACUUGCCCCGAGAUGAGUUCUCCCUGAGACUAUAAGUCUCCUGAAGGAACGUUAAAGACGAUGACGUUGAUAGGCCGGGUGUGUAAGCGCAGCGAUGCGUUGAGCUAACCGGUACUAAUGAACCGUGAGGCUUAACCUU
This 2898-nucleotide ribosomal RNA is filed under the name Klebsiella pneumoniae subsp. pneumoniae. RNAcentral's name for it is "bacterial LSU rRNA". It matches the Rfam family "Bacterial large subunit ribosomal RNA". Lineage: Bacteria; Pseudomonadati; Pseudomonadota; Gammaproteobacteria; Enterobacterales; Enterobacteriaceae. The record is from RNAcentral.